This 389-nucleotide ribosomal RNA is filed under the name uncultured bacterium. RNAcentral describes it as "bacterial SSU rRNA". It matches the Rfam family "Bacterial small subunit ribosomal RNA", at positions 103 to 507 of the family's 1533-position model. The record is from RNAcentral.
CGGGUGAGGAGCGCGUGGGAACCUAUCCUGGAGUGGGGGAUAACCGAGGGAAACUUCGGCUAAUACCGCAUGCGCCCCCGGGGCGGGGUUUCCUGCCGCGGGGGGAAAGAUUUAUCGCUCGAGGCGGGGCCCGCGUCGGAUUAGGUGGUUGGUGGGGUAACGGCCUACCAAGCCGAUGAUCCGUAGCUGGUCUGAGAGGAUGAUCAGCCACACUGGGACUGAGACACGGCCCAGACUCCUACGGGAGGCAGCAGUGGGGAAUAUUGGACAAUGGGCGCAAGCCUGAUCCAGCAAUGCCGCGUGAGUGAUGAAGGCCUUCGGGUUGUAAAGCUCUUUCGGCGGGGACGAUGGUGACGGUACCCGCAGAAGAAGCCCCGGCCAACUUCGUG